RNAcentral lists this transfer RNA (74 nucleotides) under Nanobdellota archaeon. RNAcentral describes it as "tRNA-Cys". It matches the Rfam family "tRNA". From Rfam's summary of the family: Transfer RNA (tRNA) molecules are approximately 80 nucleotides in length. Their secondary structure includes four short double-helical elements and three loops (D, anti-codon, and T loops). Lineage: Archaea; Nanobdellati; Nanobdellota. The record is from RNAcentral.
GCGCAGAUGCCCAAGCGGCCUAAGGGGCCCGCCUGCAGAGCGGGUAUUCGGGGGUUCGAAUCCCUCUCUGCGCU